UCGCCUACGGGACGCAGCAGUGAGGAAUAUUGGUCAAUGGACGCAAGUCUGAACCAGCCAUGCCGCGUGCAGGAUGACGGCUCUAUGAGUUGUAAACUGCUUUUGUACGAGGGUAAACCCCGAUACGUGUAUCGGGUUGAAAGUAUCGUACGAAUAAGGAUCGGCUAACUCCGUGCCAGCAGCCGCGGUAAUACGGAGGAUCCGAGCGUUAUCCGGAUUUAUGGGGUUUAAAGGGUGCGUAGGCGGUUUGAUAGGGUAGUGGUGAAAUGUCGGGGGUCAACCCCGA
RNAcentral lists this ribosomal RNA (286 nucleotides) under uncultured bacterium. RNAcentral's name for it is "partial 16S ribosomal RNA". It matches the Rfam family "Bacterial small subunit ribosomal RNA", at positions 335 to 618 of the family's 1533-position model. The record is from RNAcentral.